CAGGAGAGGGUUGUCACUGUUAUUCAUGACAACAUUUUGAAAUGCAGAGCUGUCACAGAAAGUACAGCAUAAGCACUGACAAAAGGCAUCGAAGGAGCAGGUGUUUAACACAGAGAUUGACAGUUUACCAACUUUAACAGGCUGAUGCAUGUUUCCAUUUUUUAAUAGUCCCACUUUCACUCUUUUGGCCCCAGAUGAUGAAUCUGCAUGGAGCCAUUCAGUGCAGGAACUCAGAGCAAAUCUGCAUAUUUCCUUCGAUGAAGGAAAGGUGCCGAGAAAUGAAGCGAUCCACUCAAAUGGGCAAGUUCUCAUGUUUGAACAGGCCAUGUUUUACAUUUUUGAAUUCGGCUUCAACAUUGGCUGAGCUUGCUGUGAGACUGGUGCUUUUGAAGAGGGGAACCAUUAUUCCUGUCCACAGUGGUUGCCAGGUUUGGAAGGUGACUUGGCUCGGGAUCUCCUAUAUCCAUCAACUCUGAUGCCUUUGCUGACCUCCAUACAGAUGGUUCCAUCCUGCCCUCACACAACUCUUCUGAAAUCUGUGCACGAAGGGUUCCUGACAUGAAUCUUUUGGACUGGCCAGUGUGCAGGGAGAUGUCGGCGCCUUCAAUGGAACACUGGAGCACCAUUGGGCUGUUGAUCGUUGGCUCUCUGUCACAUGUCAUUUUAACAUGACCUUGACACUCUUUACAGA
Molecule: long non-coding RNA, 691 nt
Organism: Austrofundulus limnaeus
Lineage: Eukaryota; Metazoa; Chordata; Actinopteri; Cyprinodontiformes; Rivulidae
Exons: 3
Source: RefSeq, a predicted model, not a curated record